Molecule: long non-coding RNA, 467 nt
Filed under: Mytilus galloprovincialis (Mediterranean mussel)
Lineage: Eukaryota; Metazoa; Mollusca; Bivalvia; Mytilida; Mytilidae
Source: RNAcentral
CUGAUCAAACGUUCCAUGUACAAAUAUCGAAGUGAAUAGAAGGUUAUCCAACUCAUCGGAGAAAUAUUUUUAUAAGAUUGCAUACGGAAACAUCAUUGUUUACGUUUCUUCGUUCCCCGUUUUUAACAGUCUCUUCCUAAAUAUAACUCUACAUUUAAUUCAUGGAAUUUUAAUCGUAAUUUACCUUGUUUGCCUUGGAUUUACAUUCAUUUAAGAUUCUGUAUUGACAAAUGUUCAAACGAAAAUUGUACAGUGGAUGAAUUAUGGGAUAUUAAUGAAAAAAGUGUUGUAUAACUUAAAAAAACUAUAUACAUUUGCACCAUCUCGUCAAUUUAGCCAGACUUAUCCAUAACGAUUAUAAAUGAUAUCUGGGAGUCUGGAACUCAGAAAAAUAUACUCGAUCUGAACAUGAAUGAAACAUUUGCCCCUGGACGUUCGGCUACAAACAAAGUCAUGCAUUUUUCUUU